GCAGUCAAGGUUUGGUGAUGUAAGUAACACAGAUUUACAUUAAUCCUAUCACAAUCAUGUGUUCUUUGAGAUGUUAAUGUAUGAAAAAUGAAACGUCUAUCUCAUAUCAAUUAGUUGUCCAUAAAACUUAACACAAUAGUCAUGUCGUUAUAUAUUGCAAUAUGUUUUGUUGGAGUUUACUUAAGUUCUUGUAUUAUCUUAAAGUACAGCGCAAAUUAUCCGGUGAUACUUAUGUAUUAAUUAGUAGUUUGGUGUGUGUAAAACACAUAUUUAGAUAAACGUAAACACAUAACUUAAAGUACAAAUAAAACAUAACCAAAAGCAAUUUGACAUGCUUAUAGAUUUUUUGUGGUCGUAUCAAACAUUACAGAGAAAAUGAUAUUGUUCGCCAGAUAAUUGAUAUAACAGACUAUAGUGUAUAAAAGUAAUGAGGGAACAUACAGUUAUUCUUAUAUAAAAAAAAAAUGUCAAAGUAAAAAUUUGAUUGUUCCACUUGUAUACAUUUGUUGUUAUUUACAAAGAAAAUGAAACACUGUUUUAUCUGGCGUGCAUGAAUAUGCAGUCAAAUGUUUUGUUAAAUUUUA
This 584-nucleotide long non-coding RNA is filed under the name Mytilus galloprovincialis (Mediterranean mussel). Lineage: Eukaryota; Metazoa; Mollusca; Bivalvia; Mytilida; Mytilidae. The record is from RNAcentral.